UCAGCUCGUGCCGUGAGGUGUCGGGUUAAGUCCCAUAACGAGCGCAACCCUACCUUUAGUUGCCAUCAGGUAAUGCUGGGGACUCUAAAGGAACUGCCUACGCAAGUAAGUGAGGAAGGCGGGGAGUGACGUCAAAUCAGCACGGCCCUUACGUCCAGGGCUACACACGUGCUACAAUGGCCGAUACAGAGGGCAGCUACCUGGUGACAGGAUGCAAAUCUACCAAAGUCGGUCUCAGUUCGGAUCGGAGUCUGCAACCCGACUCCGUGAAGUUGGAUUCGCUAGUAAUCGCGCAUCAGCCAUGGCGCGGUGAAUACGUUCCCGGGCCUU
This 330-nucleotide ribosomal RNA is filed under the name uncultured Sphingobacteriales bacterium. RNAcentral's name for it is "bacterial SSU rRNA". It matches the Rfam family "Bacterial small subunit ribosomal RNA", at positions 1055 to 1382 of the family's 1533-position model. The record is from RNAcentral. Lineage: Bacteria; Pseudomonadati; Bacteroidota; Sphingobacteriia; Sphingobacteriales.